Molecule: ribosomal RNA, 275 nt
Filed under: uncultured bacterium
Lineage: Bacteria
Description: partial 16S ribosomal RNA
Rfam family: Bacterial small subunit ribosomal RNA
Source: RNAcentral
CCUACGGGUGGCUGCAGUCGAGAAUCAUUCGCAAUGGGCGAAAGCCUGACGAUGCGACGCCGUGUGAGCGAUGAAGGCCUUCGGGUUGUAAAGCUCUUUCGCUUGGGAACAAGAGAGGCUGGCGAAUAACCAGUUGAUUUGAGGGUACCAGGUAAAGAAGCACCGGCUAACUCCGUGCCAGCAGCUGCGGUAAUACGGAGGGUGCAAGCAUUAAUCGGAUUUAUUGGGCGUAAAGGACGCGUAGGCGGUGAGGUAAGUCGGGUGUGAAAUGCCGG